This 407-nucleotide ribosomal RNA is filed under the name uncultured bacterium. Its description in RNAcentral is "bacterial SSU rRNA". It matches the Rfam family "Bacterial small subunit ribosomal RNA", at positions 509 to 916 of the family's 1533-position model. The record is from RNAcentral.
CAGCAGCCGCGGUAAUACGUAGGGUGCAGGCGUUAAUCGGAAUUACUGGGCGUAAAGCGUGCGCAGGCGGUUUGCUAAGAGAGAUGUGAAAUCCCCGGGCUUAACCUGGGAACUGCGUUUCUAACUGGCAGGCUUGAGUGUGGCAGAGGGGGGUGGAAUUCCACGUGUAGCAGUGAAAUGCGUAGAGAUGUGGAGGAACACCGAUGGCGAAGGCAGCCCCCUGGGCUAACACUGACGCUCAUGCACGAAAGCGUGGGGAGCAAACAGGAUUAGAUACCCUGGUAGUCCACGCCCUAAACUAUGUCAACUGGUUGUCGUGGAAGCAAUUCCUUGGUAACGAAGCUAACGCGUGAAGUUGACCGCCUGGGGAGUACGGCCGCAAGGUUAAAACUCAAAGGAAUUGACGG